GCUCGCGUCUUUUCACAAACUCUUUUGUAUGUCUUUAAGAAUGUAUACUUCGAUGUAAUAAAAACGCAUCUAAUACAACUUUCAACAACGGAUCUCUUGGCUCUCGCAUCGAUGAAGAACGCAGCGAAAUGCGAUAAGUAAUGUGAAUUGCAGAAUUCAGUGAAUCAUCGAAUCUUUGAACGCACCUUGCGCCCUUUGGUAUUCCGAAGGGCACACCUGUUUGAGUGUCGUGAAAUUCUCAACCCUCUUCACUUUUGUGAAGGCAAGGGCUUGGACUUGGAGGCUUUGCCGGGCUCUUUUUGCUCGGCUCCUCUCAAAUGCAUUAGUGCGUCUCGUUGCGAUGUGCGCCUCGGUGUGAUAGUUAUCUACGCUGCGUGUGUGCUCGCUUCUUGUGGGACGUGCUUCAAACCGUCCGAUUAAAGGACAAUCAUCUCGAAACUUGACCUCAAAUCA
RNAcentral lists this ribosomal RNA (453 nucleotides) under Agaricomycetes sp. DCHBPI. RNAcentral's name for it is "eukaryotic LSU rRNA". The stretch from base 77 to 230 matches the Rfam family "5.8S ribosomal RNA". Lineage: Eukaryota; Fungi; Basidiomycota; Agaricomycetes. The record is from RNAcentral.